RNAcentral lists this ribosomal RNA (441 nucleotides) under uncultured bacterium. Its description in RNAcentral is "partial 16S ribosomal RNA". It matches the Rfam family "Bacterial small subunit ribosomal RNA", at positions 338 to 795 of the family's 1533-position model. The record is from RNAcentral.
UCUACGGGUGGCAGCAGUGGGGGAUAUUGCACAAUGGGGGGAACCCUGAUGCAGCGACGCCGCGUGGGUGAAGGAGUAUUUCGGUAUGUAAAGCCCUAUCGGCAGGGAAGAAUUUAGACGGUACCUGACUAAGAAGCCCCGGCUAACUACGUGCCAGCAGCCGCGGUAAUACGUAGGGGGCAAGCGUUAUCCGGAUUCACUGGGUGUAAAGGGAGCGUAGACGGCCAGGCAAGCCUGGAGUGAAAGCCCGGGGCCCAACCCCGGGACUGCUCUGGGAACUGUCCGGCUGGAGUGCGGGAGGGGCAGGCGGAAUUCCUGGUGUAGCGGUGAAAUGCGUAGAUAUCAGGAGGAACACCAGUGGCGAAGGCGGCUUACUGGACUGUAACUGACGUUGAGGCUCGAAAGCGUGGGGAGCAAACAGGAUUAGAUACCCUUGUAGUC